GACGAACGCUUGCGACGUGCCUAAGAAAUGCAAGUCGAGCGAGGUAGCAAUACCUAGCGGCGAACGGUCGCGUAACACGUAAGCAACCUGCCCCAAAGACCGGGACAACGUUUCGAAAGGAGCGCUAAUACCGGAUGUGGUCAUCGGCUGACAUCGGCUGAUGAGUAAAUCGAGCAAUCGGCUUUGGGAGGGGCUUGCGGCCUAUCAGCUAGAUGGUGGGGUAACGGCCACCAUGGCGACGACGGGUAGCUGGUCUGAGAGGAUGGUCAGCCGGAUUGGGACUGAGAUACGGCCCAGACUCC
This 302-nucleotide ribosomal RNA is filed under the name uncultured bacterium. RNAcentral describes it as "bacterial SSU rRNA". It matches the Rfam family "Bacterial small subunit ribosomal RNA", at positions 28 to 339 of the family's 1533-position model. The record is from RNAcentral.